Molecule: ribosomal RNA, 735 nt
Filed under: human gut metagenome
Description: bacterial SSU rRNA
Rfam family: Bacterial small subunit ribosomal RNA
Source: RNAcentral
AUGAAGGUCUUCGGAUUGUAAAAUUCUGUGGUAAGAGAAGAAAGAUAUAAAGAGGAAAUGCUUUGUAUUUGACGGUAUCUUGCUAGAAAGCCACGGCUAACUACGUGCCAGCAGCCGCGGUAAUACGUAGGUGGCAAGCGUUAUCCGGAAUUACUGGGCGUAAAGAGUGAGCAGGCGGUUAGAUAAGUCUAUGGUUAAAUGCAACAGCUCAACUGUUGUUCGCUAUAGAAACUAUUUAACUAGAGUGCGGGAGAGGUAAGUGGAACUCCAUAUGUAGCGGUGGAAUGCUUAGAUAUAUGGAAGAACACCAGAGGCGAAGGCGGCUUACCAGUCCGUAACUGACGCUCAGUCACGAAAGCGUGGGGAGCAAAUAGGAUUAGAUACCCUAGUAGUCCACGCCGUAAACGAUGAGAACCUGAUGCAGGAGAUAUUCUGUGUCGAAGCUAACGCGUUAAGUUCUCCGCCUGGGUACUACGUUCGCAAGAAUAAAACUUAAAGGAAUUGACGGGCGCCCGCACAAGCAGUGGAGCAUGGGGUUUAAUUCGUCGAUACACGAAAAACCUUACCAGGGCUUGACAUCCCGCUAAAAGCCUUAGAAAUAAGGAAAUAGUUAUAGCGGUGACAGGUGGUGCAUGGUUGUCGUCAGCUCGUGCCGUGAGGUGUUAGGUUAAGUCCUCAAACGAGCGCAACCCUUGUCUUUAGUUGCCAUUAUUAAUUUAGGAACUCUAGAGAGAC